RNAcentral lists this ribosomal RNA (450 nucleotides) under uncultured bacterium. Its description in RNAcentral is "partial 16S ribosomal RNA". It matches the Rfam family "Bacterial small subunit ribosomal RNA", at positions 338 to 795 of the family's 1533-position model. The record is from RNAcentral.
CCUACGGGUGGCUGCAGUGGGGAAUUUUGGACAAUGGGCGAAAGCCUGAUCCAGCCAUGCCGCGUGAGUGAAGAAGGCCUUCGGGUUGUAAAGCUCUUUUGUUUGGGAAGAAAUCCCUAAGGAUAAUACCCUUGGGGGAUGACGGUACCAAAAGAAUAAGCACCGGCUAACUACGUGCCAGCAGCCGCGGUAAUACGUAGGGUGCAAGCGUUACGCGGAAUUACUGGGCGUGAUGCUUGAGCAGGCGUGUGGAAUCCACGAGCUCAACUUGGGAACUGCACUUGUGACUGCAAGACUAGAGUGUGUCAGAGGGAGGUAGAAUUCCACGUGUAGCAGUGAAAUGCGUAGAUAUGUGGAGGAAUACCAGUGGCGAAGGCGGCCUCCUGGGAUAACACUGACGCUCAUGUACGAAAGCGUGGGGAGCAAACAGGAUUAGAUACCCUAGUAGUC